GAUGAACGCUGGCGGCGUGCCUAAUACAUGCAAGUCGAGCGAAUGGAUUAAGAGCUUGCUCUUAUGAAGUUAGCGGCGGACGGGUGAGUAACACGUGGGUAACCUGCCCAUAAGACUGGGGUAACUCCGGGAAACCGGGGCUAAUACCGGAUGACAUUUUGAACCGCAUGGUUCGAAAUUGAAAGGCGGCUUCGGCUGUCACUUAUGGAUGGACCCGCGUCGCAUUAGCUAGUUGGUGAGGUAACGGCUCACCAAGGCAACGAUGCGUAGCCGACCUGAGAGGGUGAUCGGCCACACUGGGACUGAGACACGGCCCAGACUCCUACGGGAGGCAGCAGUAGGAAAUCUUCCGCAAUGGACGAAAGUCUGACGGAGCAACGCCGCGUGAGUGAUGAAGGCUUUCGGGUCGUAAAACUCUGUUGUUAGGGAAGAACAAGUGCUAGUUGAAUAAGCUGGCACCUUGACGGUACCUAACCAGAAAGCCACGGCUAACUACGUGCCAGCCGCCGCGGUAA
Molecule: ribosomal RNA, 515 nt
Filed under: uncultured bacterium
Lineage: Bacteria
Description: partial 16S ribosomal RNA
Rfam family: Bacterial small subunit ribosomal RNA
Source: RNAcentral